Molecule: ribosomal RNA, 253 nt
Filed under: uncultured bacterium
Lineage: Bacteria
Description: partial 16S ribosomal RNA
Rfam family: Bacterial small subunit ribosomal RNA
Source: RNAcentral
UACGUAGGGUGCAGGCGUUAAUCGGAAUUACUGGGCGUAAAGCGUGCGCAGGCGGUUUGCUAAGACAGGUGUGAAAUCCCCGGGCUUAACCUGGGAACUGCGCUUGUAACUGGCAAGCUAGAGUGUGGCAGAGGGGGGUGGAAUUCCACGUGUAGCAGUGAAAUGCGUAGAGAUGUGGAGGAACACCGAUGGCGAAGGCAGCCCCCUGGGCUAGCACUGACGCUCAGGCACGAAAGCGUGGGGAGCAAACAGG